Molecule: ribosomal RNA, 505 nt
Filed under: uncultured bacterium
Lineage: Bacteria
Description: partial 16S ribosomal RNA
Rfam family: Bacterial small subunit ribosomal RNA
Source: RNAcentral
GACGAACGCUGGCGGCGUGCCUAAUACAUGCAAGUAGAACGCACAGUUUAUACCGUAGCUUGCUACACCAUAGACUGUGAGUUGCGAACGGGUGAGUAACGCGUAGGUAACCUGCCUGGUAGCGGGGGAUAACUAUUGGAAACGAUAGCUAAUACCGCAUAAUAUUGAUUAUUGCAUGAUAAUUGAUUGAAAGAUGCUAUUGCAUCACUACCAGAUGGACCUGCGUUGUAUUAGCUAGUAGGUGAGGUAACGGCUCACCUAGGCGACGAUACAUAGCCGACCUGAGAGGGGGAUCGGCCACACUGGGACUGAGACACGGCCCAGACUCCUACGGGAGGCAGCAGUAGGGAAUCUUCGGCAAUGGACGAAAGUCUGACCGAGCAACGCCGCGUGAGUGAAGAAGGGUUUCGGAUCGUAAAGCUCUGUUGUAAGAGAAGAACGGGGGUGAGAGUGGAAAGUUCACACUGUGACGGUAUCUUACCAGAAAGGGACGGCUAACUACGUG